This 468-nucleotide ribosomal RNA is filed under the name uncultured bacterium. Its description in RNAcentral is "partial 16S ribosomal RNA". It matches the Rfam family "Bacterial small subunit ribosomal RNA", at positions 28 to 507 of the family's 1533-position model. The record is from RNAcentral.
GACGAACGCUGGCGGCGUGCUUAACACAUGCAAGUCGAACGGAAAGGCCCUGCUUUUGCGGGUUGCUCGAUUGCCGAAGGGGUGAGUAACACGUGAGUAUCACGCCCUUGUCUUUGGGGUAACUUCAGGAAAAACCGGCUCUAAUCCCGUAGAAGCUAUUGCUGCGUGUGGGGGGUUGGAAAGAGUCGGCGGUGGGGGAUAGUCUGGCUGGUUAUCAGCUUGUUUGUGGGGUAGUGGCUUACCAAGGCUUUGAGGGGUAGCCGGCCUGAGAGGUUGACCGGGCACCAGAGGACUGAGAGACGGAGCAGUCUGGAACGGGAGGCAGUAGGGGGAAGUAUGGCAGAACGGGCGGGCGCGUGAUAUGGCAACGCCGCGUGCGGGAAGACGUCCUUCGGGGGGUAAACCGAUUUCGCCGGUGACGAAGAGUGAGUGACGGUAAUUGGUAAAGAAGCACCGGCUAACUACGUG